Myiozetetes cayanensis is the source of this 4497-nucleotide long non-coding RNA. RefSeq lists it as uncharacterized. The transcript is spliced from 14 exons. NCBI's taxonomy places the organism in Eukaryota, Metazoa, Chordata, Aves, Passeriformes, Tyrannidae. The record is from RefSeq and is a predicted model, not a curated record.
CCACUGCGGUGCUGGGCAGAAAAGGCUGGAAAAGAAAGACUGGCAGUGGCUUCCCAAUUUACUUUACAGACAUUUGCCACCUGCAGAGGAGGCACUAAUCCCCACGCAGCUGAGCAAGGGCUGCGGGGAGUGCAGCAGGGUGCAGCGAGCUGGGGCGGAGCUGUGACUCAGGGGAGGGUGUGCGCAGUCCCCCAACACCCGCACCCAAGCCCAGCCCAAAAGAACCCCAGAGCCCAGAGCGAAGCACCACGAGCCAGCGCCGGUCCGGGGCCCCAUCUGAGAACAGCCCCUGCCUCCUGCUCGCUCCGGCAGCGCCCCUCGGCUGGCGCCGGCCCCUUUCCCUGGCUCGCCUGUGGUUCCAUGCACCCUUCUGUCCUCUCCCAUGCGAGACAGCCCCAGGUGUGGGCAGUGAGGAUGACCAAGGAGCGGGACAGCCCCAGGUGUGGGCAGUGAGGAUGACGAGGGGUGGACCCUGCUGAGUGGUUAUCUGGGCCACUUUUUGUAGGGAGCUUUUGCCGGGGAUCAGUCUUUCAAGGAGUAAUGGUGGGGGUGUCUCGCCGGGGCAAGCACCUGAGGUCCCUGGAUCAUCGCUCAAGGAAGAGGCCGAGGGAUGAGCCGUGGGCCAGGAAGCAGCGCAGGAGAGGGGAGCAGCGCACGUGAACAGGUGAAAGCGUGGAUUCCAGGACAGAAGUAGAUGUUGCUUGGGACUUUGGGGGUUCUAGACAGAGAAGACCUCGGAAGCACCUGGAUGAAGCCCCUCAGAAACCUGAUCAGGGUAGAUGUGUAUGGUUGUAAGUGCUGGGGAAUGUCCUGAGCGUGGAACAGGAAUGCAGGGAACAAAAUGAACCCUCAGGGAAUGCUGAGUCCUCCCAUCAGCUGCAGCGGAGGCACCUCUGUGUGCACUGUGGGAGCUGAUGGCCAGGGCCCCCGGUGGGCUGGGAUCACUGCAGGGUGUUGUCAGCAAGGAAUGCCUGGCUUCUAAAACUCACCAGCUGAGUCUUAGAGGCUUCUUUUUUUUCGGGCAGCCAAAUUGGCCCCAGGCAGGGACUCUGCGCCUGCUCUCCUGGUGUGCCCAGGGAUCUCUGGGCCUUCACGCCGGCACCGAGAUGUUCUCGGGAAGGCCCUCAGAUCCCCGGAGCAGUCUGGGACACGGGCAAGAUCCCCCUGCAUUUCGGGGGCAGAUUGGGCCCCCUGGAGGGACAGUGCUGUUGCUGCCCCCCGGGCUGGGACACUCGGGGAACUCCAGCGCGCACCGAAAUUGUUCUUCGGGGAGCUCCUCUGAGUGCCCCAAGCUGGGGAGCUGAAAGCAAGGUCCCUGGAAUGGAUUCAGGCAUUCCUGAGAGUAUCAGAGGUGUAGCUGUCUGUCCUGGCCAUGGAGCUCCGGAAUGGACUGUAACUGGGUUCUAAAAGUGGUGCUCCAACAGCAAAAGGAGUGUGGGAUUGGAUUUAAGGAAUGAGUGGUGAUGGUACCGUUAGCUGUUUUCUCUUGACUGGAAUUGUGAGAGCUGCAGGAGUGCAAGGUGUGGGUUCCAGUCCCCACCGUUUGGUUUGCACGUGUCCUGGUCAGACACAGGUCCAGCUUCCUCAGCCCUUAACAGACCAGGGGGAGAAUUAGGGGAUGGCACUGGGAAGGUGAUUGGUGUGACAGGGGUUAAACUGGGAAAACACUGGGUAAUUCCUCAGUUUGUUUAUUUGCAAGCUCCCCUAAGCCUUUGCUAGGAAGAGAUGGGUUGGACAAGUUGAGGCAGAAAUGAACUUGGAAAAUGGGGAGAUUGAAAUUGUAGUUGCUGACACUAACUGUGUGAGAGCAGCAGCUCUUUUUGUGCAGGGAAUAACUCCCGUCAGCAGCACCGUCCCGACUGAAGCGGCAGAUGGAGUUGUUCCUGUGGUGAGGGCCAGUGGAAUUCCAGGAGAAUGGAAGAGGGCAGAGCCUGUAGAGCAAGGCAAGCCAAGAAACCUUUGCUUUUGAAGGAGAAACUCUGGAAAUUGGGAAGGAAGAAACAAAGCCACCUGAGCCCUCCCUGAGCCACAGGCAGUCCAUGAAGUGCCUUCCUGGGAACGGUAGGACAGUGAGGACUCUGGAUUGCUCCCUACGGGGGUGGUAAGACCGAUGCAAACUUUUGAAACCCCCUGUAAGAGUUUCCUGCCUUGGAUUGAUGGUGCAAGGGCGGCCUUUAGGCAGCCUUUUUUCCAGUUAGCCCUGGAAGGAGGACAGUGAUACCUUUUCAGUGCUAGUAGAUACUCUGAGUAGAUGGCCGUAAGUCUGUCCUUGUUGCACCAGGAGGCCUUAUCAAGCUCCCCUAUUACAGGAGCUAUUCCCAUGAAAGCAAAAACGAUCCUCAUAAUUCUUUGCUGCCUUUAGGAUCUGCCCUGCAGAAACUCCCGGAAUUGACGUUGACACCCCGGCCGAUGGAUUGGACGCCCCAACCCGUCCGUUCCUGCCCAGCCGUUGGGUCCCUGUCGGGCGGUGGGACUCCCAGCCUGUCCAGGGGGCUGUGGCGUCGAAAGUGCCCAGAGCUGAGCCAGGGGAUUGAAAGGGACUAACCCAGUGAGGUGAAGAAACAAGGAAGAAGGGAAGUGAGGCAGCAGCCAAGCAGCACCAAGUUCCUCUGUCAACAGGUGAGUUGUCUUGAGGUUCCUAAGGCAGACACUCGGGACUUUGGAUGCUCCAGACAGAGAAGACCUCGGAGGCCCCUGGAUGAAGCCCCUCAGAAUCUUUAUCAGGGGAAUAACUCCCGUCAGCAGCACCGUCCCGACUGAAGCGGCAGAUGGAGUUGUUCCUGUGGUGAGGGCCAGUGGAAUUCCAGGAGAAUGGAAGAGGGCAGAGCCUGUAGGAGCAAGGCAAGCCAAGAAACCUUUGCUUUUGAAGGAGAAACUCUGGAAAUUGGGAAGGAAGAAACAAAGCCACCUGAGCCCUCCCUGAGCCACAGGCAGUCCAUGAAGUGCCUUCCUGGGAACGGUAGGACAGUGAGGACUCCGGAUUGCUCCCUACGGGGGUGGAUCUGCCCUGCAGAAACUCCCGGAAUUGACGUUGACACCCCGGCCGAUGGAUUGGACGCCCCAACCCGUCCGUUCCUGCCCAGCCGUUGGGUCCCUGUCAGGCGGUGGGACUCCCAGCCUGUCCAGGGGGCUGUGGCGUCGAAAGUGCCCAGAGCUGAGCCAGGGGAUUGAAAGGGACUAACCCAGUGAGGUGAAGAAACAAGGAAGAAGGGAAGUGAGGCAGCAGCCAAGCAGCACCAAGUUCCUCUGUCAACAGCAGCUCUUCUUGUGCAGGAAAUAACUCCCGUCAGCAGCACCAUCCCGACUGAAGCGGCAGAUGGAGUUGUUCCUGUGGUGAGGGCCAGUGGAAUUCCAGGAGAAUGGAAGAGGGCAGAGCCUGUAGGAGCAAGGCAAGCCAAGAAACCUUUGCUUUUGAAGGAGAAACUCUGGAAAUUGGGAAGGAAGAAAUGAAGCCACCUGAGCCCUUCCUGAGCAACAGGCAGUCCAUGAAGUGCCUUCCUGGGAACGGUAGGACAGUGAGGACUCCGGAUUGCACGCUACGGGGGUGUGGAUCUGCCCUGCAGAAACUCCCGGAAUUGACGUUGACACCCCGGCCGAUGGAUUGGACGCCCCAGCCCGUCCGUUCCUGCCCAGCCGCUGGGUCCCUGUCAGGCGGUGGGACUCCCAGCCUGUCCAGGGGGCUGUGGCGUGGAAACUGCCCAGAGCUGAGCCAGAGGAUUGAAAGGGACUAACCCAGUGAGGUGAAGAAACAAGGAAGAAGGGAAAUGAGGCAGCAGCCAAGCAGCACUGAGUUCCACUGUCAGCAGGAGCGCUGCGCUGAAAUUCCCAGUCCGCCUGCAAAAAUUGAAGACAAAGAAAGAUUCCUCCCAGACAGAAGGUGGCCAGGCCAAAAGCUCCUUCUACCCGUGGAGUGCCCAGGCCGACCUACAACCCAGACCUUCAAGCCAAGGGUAAGCACUUGCUUUUCUGGGAGAAAGGCCUGUCGUUCGCUUGCAGGAAUGCUGCACUGAUGUUGCUACUCUGACUUCCAAAUGGAAUAAGAAGAAAGAUUCCUGCCAGACAAGAGGUGCCAUCACAGAAAGCUCCUGCUGCCCAUGGAGCGCCCAGGCUGCCCUACCAACUGCACUCUGGACCCUGAGGUCCUUUCUCGAGAGAAGUUAUUGGAACCGCUCCCAGAGAUUGGCACCACUCCCAGAAUUUGUCGAAACCUUCCCAGACUUUUGGAAAUAAUCCCAGAGUAGUUAAAACACUACAACAGACAAGCGAUACGACAGACAAGCGAUACGACAGACAAGCGAUACGACAGACAAGCGAUACGACAGACAAGCGAUACGACAGACAAGCGAUACGACAGACAAUUUUUGCCGGCAAACUUAUCCGAAUUUUAACCCGUUCUCCGUUCUCUGGUGGGACUCUAACCCACGAUUACCUGGAAGUCCACCCCAAGGCCGGGCCUCUAACCCGAAUUUUUGGGACUAUAACCCGAAGUGGGACUCU